AGGCAGUCUCUCUGAAAGAGUUUGAAAAUAUUAGGGACUUAAGAUUUUAAAGCAAGAAAUCUUUUCCUCAACAAUUUUGCAACCACAUUUAAAAAGUCCUAUUCACAGAAGCACCUAUGCAAUAUCCUAGCUUAACAACCAUUUCUAACAUAACACAACUCAUCAAUUCACGUCUGACAUCCCCUCUACUGACUUCAUUUCUUAUCAUUAAAUAUAAAGUGAAUGCUUUACCUUGGGUGUAUCGAUCAUAGGAUGCAAGGAUUUCAGACAAGUAUCUGGAUCUGCAGGUAAAAGUUAGUUCCUAGUUUCUCUCUCUCUAAUUUUCUCACUUGAGUCAAAGUUUGCUUCCAUUGCAGGAUCAGUGACCAAGAUUGGACAGGCUUCCAUGAAUCAAGUUCUGUUCACUUCUUUUUGACCUAUAUCCAAGAGUUCUUUGCGAAAGCGAGCCUUGAAGAUUGCCGCCUCCAAGUCCCGUUUCGAACUCUUUUAUUGGAGUCUUUACGAAUCAAGCCUUAAUGGUUUAACCACCAAGUCCUGUUCAGACUCAUCCUAAGUAAACAAUAGAUCUUAUUUAUUUAUUUUUUUUAAUUAUUAUUAUUAUAUUUUUUUUAUAUACUCACUAACUAUUCGAGGGUCGAAAUUUAGAGAGAGAAAAUGUGAUAAAUAAUCUACACUAGGCGUUACCUUCCAGACUUGUCUGAAGAAUCCGAUCCCAUGUAUACCAAGCCCCAAGAGAAGCGGUUAUGUCAGGUUUAGUGUUGGAAAUCAGCUUUGGUUGCUUCAUACGUUUCAAGGCAAGUGUGUAGUUGAUAGGUUGAUCUGCUUUAACAUCUAUAGUGCUAUCUGCAAUCAGUAAAUCUAAAAUGGUGCUAGAGAUUGGUU
Molecule: long non-coding RNA, 882 nt
Filed under: Brassica rapa (field mustard)
Lineage: Eukaryota; Viridiplantae; Streptophyta; Magnoliopsida; Brassicales; Brassicaceae
Description: long non-coding RNA (BRAP_LNC008011)
Source: RNAcentral